This 486-nucleotide ribosomal RNA is filed under the name uncultured bacterium. RNAcentral describes it as "bacterial SSU rRNA". It matches the Rfam family "Bacterial small subunit ribosomal RNA", at positions 35 to 507 of the family's 1533-position model. The record is from RNAcentral.
GCUGGCGGCAUGCUUAACACAUGCAAGUCGAACGGUAACAGGCCUAGCUUGCUAGGUGCUGACGAGUGGCGGACGGGUGAGUAACGCGUAGGAAUCUGUCGUAUAGUGGGGGAUAACAUGGGGGAAACUCAUGCUAAUACCGCGUAACAUCUACGGAUUAAAGCUUGGGACUAAUUUAUUAGCCAGGUGCUAUAUGAGGAGCCUGCGUCAGAUUAGCUUGUUGGUGGGGUAAAGGCCUACCAAGGCAAAGAUCUGUAACUGGUCUGAGAGGACGAACAGUCACACUGGAACUGAGACACGGUCCAGACUCCUACGGGAGGCAGCAGUGGGGAAUAUUGGACAAUGGGCGCAAGCCUGAUCCAGCAAUGCCGCGUGUGUGAAGAAGGCCUGCGGGUUGUAAAGCACUUUCAGUAGAGAAGAAAAGCCCAGGGUUAAUACCCCUGAGUCUUGACGUAACCUACAGAAGAAGCACCGGCUAACUCCGUG